UUAAAGUUUUAUUUUGGCUUAAAAAUUUAUUAUUAAUUUGAUUUAUAUGUAAAUUUUUGUAUGAAUUUAUAUUUAUUUUAAAAAUAUUUAUAAUUUAUUUAUUCGCAGUAAUUAGUAUUAUUAAUUAAAGAAAUUUAGAAAUAGCAAUAUUAAAGAGUAUUGACCAAAUUGGUGCCAGCAGUCGCGGUUACACUAAUAAUACAAAUAAAUUUUUUUAGUAUUAGUUAAAUUUAUAAAUUAAAAGAAAAUUGAAUUUAUUAAGUGAAAUUUUAUAUUCAAAAUAUUUUUAUAAAAAAUAAUUGAAGCUAAAAAAUUUUUUAAAAAAACUAGGAUUAGAUACCCUAUUAUUUAAAAUGUAAAUAUAAAUAUUAAAGUAGUAAUAGUU
RNAcentral lists this ribosomal RNA (385 nucleotides) under Drosophila persimilis. RNAcentral's name for it is "partial 12S ribosomal RNA". The record is from RNAcentral. Lineage: Eukaryota; Metazoa; Arthropoda; Insecta; Diptera; Drosophilidae.